RNAcentral lists this unclassified non-coding RNA (337 nucleotides) under soil metagenome. RNAcentral's name for it is "partial contains 5.8S ribosomal RNA, internal transcribed spacer 2, and large subunit ribosomal RNA". The stretch from base 1 to 120 matches the Rfam family "5.8S ribosomal RNA", at positions 35 to 154 of the family's 154-position model. The record is from RNAcentral.
GAUGAAGAACGUAGCGAAAUGCGAUAAGUAGUGUGAAUUGCGGAAUUCAGUGAAUCAUCGAAUCUUUGAACGCACAUUGCGCCCCAUGGUAUUCCGUGGGGCAUGCCUGUUCGAGCGUCAUUUACCCCCUCAAGCUCCGCUUGGUGUUGGGCGUCUGUCCCGCUUCGCGCGCGGACUCGCCCCAAAGGUAUUGGCAGCGGUCGUGCCAGCUUCUCGCGCAGCACAUUGCGCUUCUCGAGGCACCGGUGGGCCCGCGUCCAUCAAGCUCACCCCCCCAGUUUGACCUCGGAUCAGGUAGGGAUACCCGCUGAACUUAAGCAUAUCAAUAAGCGGAGGA